AGCCACCCUGGAUGCAUGUGCUGUGACCUCUGCAAAGCGCUCCUCGGACGGCUACAGAAGUGCAAAGCAGUAUUAAAGCACCAGACCCAGAGCUGUGGGUCCGCCGUGCCCCAGCCUGCUCAUCUGGAUCCGCUCCCAGCAUUAAGUUUGGAUCGUUUUUGCUUCGUUGAAUCCGUUUUAAUUACCUUUCGCUGAUUGCUUUUUGCCCUUUGUUUCGAGCGUUUCGCUUUUCUAAUUACAUCUCCGGCUUCUCCCAUCGGUGGGCAAUGGAGCUGGCUCUUAUCAGCAAGGCAGGGGCUCAGGGUUUGCUUCCAGAUGCUCUGAUGUGCUGAAACCCAGCGCCAGGUCGUGUUUGUUUGUUUGCUUUCCUAGCACAGGAACCGAGCAGGUUUUCACAGCUUCUCCAGGAAAGGGGCCACCCAUUCUGUGGUCUGCACUUUGCAAACGGACAAUUGAAGGCUUGAAAGCAAACAGGAGGUUUGAUUCACCUCCUGCUGCAAUCCGGUGGUUCCUGUGCUUUUAUUUUUUGAGUAGAUGGGGGCAGCUGCACCAGAAAGCUGGGCUGAGACUUUGGCCAAACCAGCCAAGCCACAGCAAGCGAUGGGAUGAUCCCAACCCUGCUGUGGUUCCUGGGAUGCACUCAACCCCUCAAGGGAGAGAAGAGAACAGCCCAACCUCUGCUCGGCAUCAUCCCACAGUGACUCAAAUCCAUACGGGUGUGGUCACGAGGAAGGAAGCAUUGACCACCCACCCCAUCCCAACAACGCGUGUGCAAAGCCUUCCCAGUGCAAAACCAAAGCACGUCAGAGCCUCCUCCUUGCUGUGUGCCUUGGGUGACACAUGGCCCCCCUCCAACCUGGGGACACCUGGGUGGCCUCUAAACCAACGUGAGAGGUUUUCUCAGCUGGAAACCACUCCCUUAUCCACGCUUUAUGAGCAUGCUGGCAAUGGACCUUGCACCCAACCCUGCGCCGUGCAGCUCAACCUUCGCUCUUCCCAUCCUACGUUCGCUGUUGACCUUGCCCAAGGUGCGGUUGGCUGUCAGUGGGUGCGUGCAGCAGCUUGCUGCCUGUCCAUUGCAGCAUCCCUGCCUCAGGUGUGCCUCUGUUUCCCCAAAGGGAGCCAAGUCAUGGUCUGUGCAGCUCCUUCCGCCCUCUGCUUGGGAGCCCGAGCCUUUCAGCAUCGGGAAAGCAGCAACAGGAAACGAGUCAGGGGGAAUUUUAGGAGCUGUUGAGAUGGCUGCAGUGUUUGACAUUCCCAGAACUCAGCAGGCAAGCAGCUGGCUGCUCCAUUAAUCCUUGCUGAGGCUCCUCUUGGCCCCACCACCGUGCUGGGGGCAAAUCCUUGCCCCCAGGAGCACAGAGCAUCCCUGGAACCGUGCAACAAUAAAAAGAAUACAAAUAAAAAAGCA
This 1411-nucleotide long non-coding RNA is filed under the name Coturnix japonica (Japanese quail). RNAcentral's name for it is "lncRNA (ENSCJPG00005011254.1)". Lineage: Eukaryota; Metazoa; Chordata; Aves; Galliformes; Phasianidae. The record is from RNAcentral.